GGGGUCGAUAAGAGUCUGACGGAGCAACGCCGCGUGAACGAUGAAGGUUUUCGGAUCGUAAAGUUCUGUUGUUAGGGAAGAACCGCCGGGAUGACCUCCCGGUCUGACGGUACCUAACGAGAAAGCCCCGGCUAACUACGUGCCAGCAGCCGCGG
RNAcentral lists this ribosomal RNA (155 nucleotides) under Aneurinibacillus sp. enrichment culture clone DJN2. RNAcentral's name for it is "partial 16S ribosomal RNA". It matches the Rfam family "Bacterial small subunit ribosomal RNA", at positions 368 to 520 of the family's 1533-position model. The record is from RNAcentral. Lineage: Bacteria; Bacillati; Bacillota; Bacilli; Caryophanales; Paenibacillaceae.